UUUGUGGUAUUUCUGGAUCCUUACCAAGGCAGUGAUGGUAUAUGCCUUCUCUCAAAGUAUGUGGUAUUUGUGGUAUAAGGCAUAGUGACAUUGCCUUCUCUCUCACCCUACUCUAAUAAGGCUUUAAUAUCUGGAGCUCAUAGGUGGGAGAUAAAGUAUACAUACUUACAAGACAUUUAUUGUAUAGUCAAACCAUGGAUCCAAAGAAACAAGUCAAUAAAUCAAAUCAAGAUGUGCAUGUGUGGCGAAUGAAUGGUGUAUGGUGAUAACAGUGAAAACAAUGGUGAAAGUCUAAUUCUACUUUUGCUCUUUUGAGGGGAUACAUACCUUCCUUGCUCUUUUGAAACUUUUUGAGGAGAGUGAGAUGCUCUAUAUUUUCUUUUUCUUUCCUCUCAGGUGGGUAUUUAGUACCCCUAAUUCUACUGUCGGACACUUGUCCAUUUUUACCUCUCGUCUCACUUUUUUUUUCUUUCGAGGUUCCGGACACUUGCCCCUUUUUAUUUCCUCGUAUUUUUUUAGAGCACUCAUCUCCUAAAAUAAUAUAGCAAGUGGUAGUAACCAAGAUAACUUGAGCAUUUAUUUCACCGGGGAAAACAGAAAUGUUUUUGGCUAUUCUCUCCCGGAUUAGGAGUAGAAUACUUUUGGGUGGUUCUAGAGAUGGAAAUGAGUGGAUAUAUGUGGAUGCGUACUUCUGGAGUAGAAGCAACAUGUAUGAGUGAACGUGCAAGUGAAUCUUGAUUUAACCACAUGACAAGCUCCUAAGGGUCUACACAGCUUGACCACACUCAAUGCUCAUAAGCAGUAAAAAAGUAAAUGUGUGGCUCAAAGUCUAGCAACCAUGUAUAUAUGGUUGUGGUAGGAAUUUAAACUCUUAUCAUACAGGAACUCAUCAUGCAAUAUUUUAAAGAUCUUUCAAAGAUAAAAUUCUCCAAAAUUCUAGUAUCUCUAGGAACAGAUAAAUAGCAGCCCAACCUUCCCAUAUCAUAUCCGUUAACAACUUAGACUUCAGAUCAAGUUCUCUUCCCACAAGUUCAGGUUUAGUGCAAGCUUUAAAUUAUAGCAUUUAUGUCUAAACUUGAGAGAGAACUCAAAUUUGAAAAUUAGGCAGGGCAACUAUUCAUCAUAUCCAUGCUAGAGUUUUAUUAUUAAGAUUCAGUUUAGCAUAGCCACUUUAUUUAUCUAUUAAACACACUAAGCAAAAGAUAUAUAUAUAUAUAAGCAUAAAAUCUUUAUUUGGUUUUCCAUAGUUAUUUAUAUAUUAAUAUUGUAUAAGUAUAAAGAUAGAUAGAAAUACUUAGCGGGAUAAAUGGGGGUGCUCUCCCCCAAGCUGAAUUUUGACGUAAUUUCUCUGAUGUAGCUAGCAAGUGGCAGAGGUGUAUUUGAAAGUCGGCGGUAUCCUGACAGCGAUUAGAAUGUCCUCCGUGUGCUAGUCUUCUUGAUCCUUAAAUUCUGUGGAGCUCAAAUAGACAAUAAAGCUUUGUGGAACUUGUUUAAGUGUUAGCAUAAAUAUCUAGCCUUUAUCAUGUUGAGCCUCCUCAAUAAAUAUUACUCCCUAUUUUUAUAUUUUCAUUUUUAUAAAGCAGAAAAAUAUUUAUUUUAUUUUUAUGCCACCACGGUGAAUGUACUUAUGGGUUUUAUGCCACUCGUCUACUCACAUGGGGCUUACUUGUCACACCCAAAUUUAAGGAUAAAUUUGAGUACAUUAAUCUCAUGUGCGCCCCAGGAAUAGUCGCGCACACAAGUCGACAAAUUACAAAUGUAUCAUCACAAGUGUCUUACAUAUCGUUAUUACAACACAAAUAUAUCAAAGUCUGCGACAAACGGAAAAUAAACUCAUACUAGCUAUGAAAGAUAACUCCAACACAGGGACGACCGACUGGGGGAUCGCCAACCUAGAAGUCCUCAGGGAAUUCCUCGUAGAAGCUGUCAUCUGUUACCCAUCCGGGAUUUUGUCCAAAAAGAAAGAUAAAGAUAAGCGUGAGUACAUCUCAUACUCUGCAAGCAUAACAUAGGAUUUUAUGCGGCUCAAAAAGGUCAGACACUGGCUACUGCAGUUAGCAUUUUAAUUGGUCAAUGUUUUAAUCCUAUUUAAUCAUCAAUUAUGCUUAAGCUCCCGAUUAGCCCAAAUGAGCACAUGAUAAUAACACCGUUAACCUUCACGGCUAACACCAUCACCAUCACGGUUAAACCACAUUAAUCAUCACGAUCAAUGCGUCAGAUUUUCAUAAGUUAUUUCCCAUAACCAUCCACACCCAACUAUUCCGUAAGGGUCCAAGGCCGCUCAUGUCCGAGAGCACGGCUAGUAUACCAGUUUGAUCAAACUCUGCGCAGAGGUGUGCACUUUUCCCGUAAGUCACGUUACCCAUAUGCCCGGGGUUUGCAAGACCCACUAACACUGCCAAGGUGAGCGGGCAGGGAACACUAUGAAGCCUUCCGUAGGCCACGUCUAACCAGUUAGGGUCGCGAGGUUUCCUCGGCAGGCAGAUAUAGAGAACCCCCCUUUCCUAUGGCACAUUUCCAUCACGGCUAUACACAUAGGAACAGAAGCAGUUCUAUACCCAAAGUGGCAAGCCCCUCUUGCGCCCUUUCGGGUAACCUCUAACCAGCUAGAUGAGAUCCUAUUACUGAGCUAAAGUUAGAGCCAUAUAACCAUCACGGUUGCACUGUAAGUCCCGGAUUAUCGCUUACAAAGAAGUCCUUACGGAGGGUCUAGGUCAACCCGACCGAAGUCAAUUGCACCAUAGCCCUUUUUCCCAAUAUUUAUCAUCAUAUUUAUUAAAGUCAGAGUGAUACUAAAGUCUCAAUUAAUUAAAGCACUAGCAAAGCUAUCCACAUGCAUUCUUCCCAUAGGUGUCAUAUGUGUUUAGUCAGGUAGCUAGGAUAUCCUUAGGGUUAUCAAAAUUAGACACAUGCAAAUGCGUAAUUAAAUAAGUGAAUAGGUGUACAAGGGAAACCCAUGCUAUACUUGCCUUCAGUGAAGGGGAACUGCUGCUGGUCCUGCUGCUCCUCAUAGUAAAAUGGAUCACCCGCGGACACGUCACCGUCUGCGCUCGAUCGGUACCACACAACAACACGCAUCCAGGUUCAUUCAUACAAGCAAACAAUCAUUUAAUUAGAACCAUACACCAACAGAUCAAAAAUGAAAUAAAAUAUUUAAAAACAGAACCUACGAUUCGCUACGAUCACAUAGAUACGAAGAUCACGAAAAUCGGAGCUAAAACGACCAAGUUACGACUUUUCGGCGAUUUCCUAUAGGCAAUUAAUUAAUUAAACCUAACCCUGAAAAUAAAAAGUGGCAAACUAUAGAAACAGUGGUACUAUCAUGUAGAGAAUUUAAAUACGAAUCUAACGCAAUUCGAACGGGUCAAAUCGGAGCUAUAACAAAUAUUUUAUGGCCAAAACAUGUUCAGUGGCAUUUCUGUAAUUUCCUAAAAGCGUAUUUUGACCUAAAUCGACAGAGUUUACGUUUUCCAACAGAGAAAGCGUAUUCACUCGAAGGCGCUAAGGACUGCGGCCGAAUUUGGAAAUCUGGGAGGGGCUCUUUAAGCAAAUUUUCCCCCGAAGGGGUAUGGUGCGCUGAGGGCCGUCAGAUCGCGAACGGACGGCCGAGAUUAGAGAAAGGGGGAAAAGAGAGAGAGGGGCGGCGCUCCUGGCCGGAGGGAAAGGAGGGCGCGGCGGCGGCCAUUGCUGGCCGACCCAAGCUCGCCGGCGAAAUUCGAUAGGGCGCUACGGGGCAUGGUUUUGCGAACCGAAACUACCAGGAGAGAGAGGAGGUCGCGGCGAACUCGAUUCCAAGCUUAGCGCGGCUGGGGAGACCACGCGUGGCCCGCUCCAUGGCCGGCGGCCAUGGAGCUCGACGGAGUUCGCCGAAACCGACCCCAGCGACCAUGAAACGGAACGAAACGAGCACCGGGAGGAAGCGAGGAAGGAGGCGAUGCUCACCCAGGGGACGAAACGCGGCAAAAGGGCUCCAAACGGAGGAACGACGCGCGACGGCGCUUGCUGCUCCGGCAGUUUCUUUUCUGCGCUAGAAUGAGUGGAAAACGGAGGCGAGGAGGGGGAAUGGGGGAGAAAGAACAGGGCUCGGGCGCGGGGCUCUUCAAAAGCUUCCGAGGCGCGGGGAAAAAGGGAGAGGGGGAUCGUGGGCGCGGGGCUCGGCCAGGGCGGUUUCCAACUGAGAGGAAGGAGCGGGGCGUCGGUUGGGAGAAGAGGGAGCUGACAGGCGGGCCCGGCCUGUCAGUGGGGGAAGAGAGAGAGGGGAAGGGGGAAGGCCGGCUGGGCCGCAGCCCAGGAAGGAUAUGGGGCGCGCGGGGUGGGUUGCUGGGCUACCAGGCCGAAAAGAGGAAGGGGGAGAGAGGGAAAGGAUUUUCUUUCUUUUUUUAUACACAAUUUCCAAAUGAAUUUCUUUUCUUCAAAUAUUUUCUUGAGCAAGAUAUUUUGGUUUUAAAAACAAUCAUCACAAAAGAAAUGCUCCAGCAUGAAUGCAACAUAAAUGUUUCUCUAAGCUCACAUUAAAUUUUAAUUUCUUAAAAUUUAUUUAUUUUCCUAUAUUGAAAAUGCUCACAAAAUAAAUUCAUUUAAAUUCAUUUCAUCUAUUUAAAAGAAACAAAAUUUUUUGGGUGUUACAAAUCUACCCCCCUUAAAGAUAAUCUCGUCCUCGAGAUUGAGACGGUGCUUACUCAAAGAGAUACGGAUAAGAUUGUCUCAACUCAUCUUCUCUUUCCCAAGUGGCUUCUUCUUCUCUAUAUCGGUGCCACUGCACUUUGCACAUCUUUAUAACCCGACUCCGGGUGACUCUUUCCACGGUUUCUAAGAUCUUGAUUGGAUAUUCCUCAUAAGUUAGAUCUCCUUCAACUGUGAGUUCCUCCAAUGGAAUUUGUUCCUCAGGAACUCGCAAACAUUUCUUCAGUUGCGACACAUGGAACACAUCGUGAAUACCCGACAUACUCGCAGGCAACUCUAACUGAUAGGCCACUUCUCCACGUCUCCUAAGAAUUCUGAACGGUCCAACGUACCUCGGUGCCAAUUUUCCCUUCAUAUUAAACCUCCUGACACUUCUCAUAGGUGACACCUUCAAAUACACAGAGUCGCCUAUCUCGAAUGCCAAUUCUCUUCUUCUAGUACCCGCAUAACUCUUUUGCCGAGACUGGGCUACUUUCAAAUUGUCCCGUAUUUUCCGCACUUUUCCUCUGCAUCUCUAAGAACAUCAGGUCCAAAUACUUGACUCUCGCCAGUCUGAUUCCAAAACAGAGGUGUUCUACAUUUCCGCCCAUACAAUGAUUCAAACGGUGCCAUAUCAAGACUUUUCUGGUAACUAUUAUUAUAUGAAAAUUCAGCAUAUGGUAAACUAGUGUCCCAACUGGUACCAUACUGUAACGCACACGCUCUCAACAUGUCUUCUAGAAUCUGAUUUACUCUUUCGGUCUGCCCAUCAGUUUGGGGAUGAUACGCGGAACUAAAGUUCAACUUUGUUCCCAAUGAUUCAUGUACUUUAUGCCAAAACUGAGAUGUGAAUUGUGUGCCCCGAUCAGACACGAUCUUCUUCGGAACUCCGUGCAGACUCACGAUUCUAUCCAUAUAUAACUUUGCCAACUUUGCACCAUCAUAGUUGGUCUUAACGGGCAAAAAGUGAGCAACUUUAGUGAGUCGAUCCACUAUUACCCAAAUUGAAUCAUACCCACGCUGAGUGCGGGGCAACCUAGUGAUGAAAUCCAUACCUACUUCUUCCCAUUUCCAUUCGGGCACUUGCAUUGGCUGCAACAACCCUGCAGGUCUUUGGUGCUCGGCUUUCACCCUCUGACAAGUAUCACAUAACGCUACAUACUCUGCCACAUCUCUCUUUAAUCCAUACCACCAGUAUUUUUCUUUAAGAUCUAGAUACAUCUUGGUGCUUCCGGGGUGAAUUGAAUAUGCAGAGUCAUGUGCUUCCCACAGGAUUGCAUCUCGGAUGGAUUUUACUUCGGGCACACAUAUUCUCUUCCCAAACCAUAGUGUACCAUUUUCAUCUAACUUGAAACCCGGUGCUUUUCCAAGCACUACAUUCUCUGAAAUUUCUUUUAGUUUCUCAUCUUCCAACUGACCUUUGCGGACUUCUUGUUCUAAGGUGGGCUCCAACUCCAAUUCAACAGUGUUGUUCACUAAACCCAAAUUGAGAUGCUCUAUUUCAGCUAGCAACUCUGUGGGAAUGAAGGUCAAUUGCAGCCCAUUGGCAUAGCUCUUUCGGCUAAGUGCAUCGGCAACAACGUUUGCCUUCCCGGGAUGGUAAUGCACUUCCAGGUCAUAAUCCUUUAUUAAUUCUAGCCAGCGGCGUUGCCUUAGGUUCAGGUCUGACUGUGUGAAAAUAUACUUCAAACUUUUGUGAUCCGUAUAAAUAUCACACUUGUGUCCAAUUAGAUAAUGCCUCCAAAUCUUUAGAGCGUGAACCACGGCAGCUAGCUCCAAAUCAUGAGUAGGAUAGUUCAGCUCAUGUUUUCUCAACUGUCUGGAUGUGUACGCCACUACUCUUCCUUCUUGCAUAAGCACACAUCCAAGGCCUAGGCGAGAUGCAUCGCAAUAAAUAGAGAAGGUUUUGCUCAGAUCUGGCAAGAUCAACACUGGAGCUGUGGUCAACCUUUUCUUUAGCUCCUCAAAAUUUUCUUGGCACUUAUCUGACCAAAUAAAUUUGGCACUCUUCUCUAGUAGGGCUGUCAUGGGCUUUGCUAACUUAGAGAAGCCUUCAAUAAACCUCCUAUAAUAACCAGCUAGUCCCAAAAAGCUACGGAUCUCACUAGCAUUGGUUGGAGGCUUCCAAUUUAGCACAUCUCGCACUUUGCUGGGGUCUACGGCUAUUCCACCGUUGGAGACCACAUGUCCCAAAAAUGAGACCUCAUCCAACCAAAACUCACACUUGCUUUUCUUGGCAUACAAUUUAUUCUCUCUAAGCUUUUGCAAGACCAGCCUCAAGUGUUCAGCAUGUUCUUCUUUGGUUUUGGAGAAGAUUAAUAUAUCAUCAAUGAAUACUACCACGAACUUAUCCAAAUACUCCAUGAACACCUUGUUCAUCAUAUACAUGAAGUAUGCAGGUGCAUUGGUCAGCCCAAAUGACAUGACUGUAUACUCAUACAAGCCAUACCUUGUGGUAAAAGUUGUCUUAGGUAUGUCAGUUGCACGGAUUUUCAACUGGUGAUAGCCAGAUCGAAGGUCAAUUUUGGAGAAUACACAUGCUCCUUUCAGUUGGUCAAAUAAGUCAUCUAUUCUAGGCAGUGGGUACUUGUUUUUAAUAGUGACUUCAUUUAAUGAUCGAUAAUCCACACACAUCCUUCUAGUGCCAUCUUUCUUAUCAACAAAGAUCACUGGUGCACCCCAUGGUGAAGAACUAGGACGAAUAAACCCUUUUUCUUGCAAUUCCUUAAGCUGUUUCUUAAGUUCCUCUAAUUCAUUUACCCCCAUUCUAUAUGGUCUUUUUGCUAUGAGUGCAGUUCCAGGUAAAAGCUCAAUAAGAAAUUCAAUGUCUCGGUCUGGUGGCAUACCUGGCAACUCAUCUGGGAAAACAUCGGGGAACUCGUCCACCACCUGGUCUUCUUGAUUACCACCACUCAACUGAUUCACUGUAGCAGUCGGCUGAGGCUGCACUGCCACAUCCACACUUAUUCUAUCCCCACCUGGUGAUGUCACCACCACAGCCCUCUCUUGACACUGUAUUACUGCCUCAUGCUGCUUCAUCCAAUCCAUACCAAGUAUGAGGUCAAUUCCCAUGGUUCUUAGCACAAUAGGUUUCACCUUGAAAUCUACCCCCCUUAGAGAUAUACUAGUGGAGGGGCUCCAGUAAUUAGCUGGCAUGGUGCCUCCCGGUGAAUUUACUAGCAUGGAAUUUUUCAGUGCACAAAGUGGGAUGCUAUGCACUCUAACAAAAGCUUGGGAGAUAAAAGAAUGUGAAGCACCAGAAUCAAACAGUACUGUAGCGGGGAUGGAGUUGAUGUUGAACGUACCCAUCAUAACCUCAGGUGCUUCCUGAGCUGUGUCAGUGGACACAUGGUUCACUUUCCCAGAGAACGGAGGUCGAGCAGGCCUCUGAUUGUUGUUCUGGUUUUGCUGGGCUGGUGGAUUCUGCUUCUUGGGGCACUGGUAGGCAUAGUGUCCCACCUCUCCGCAGCGGUAACAGGCAUUGGGAUUGCCGCUGGGUGCCACACUCUUGCCAGGAGCAUUGUUGGGCACUCCUUGGCGUGGUGCCUGGUUGCUGACCUGUUGCUGGGGGCGCUGCUGACUCUGAUUGCCAUACUGCUGUUGGGGGUGUUGUUGGUUUUGGUGGCUGUACUGCUGGUGGUACUGAGGACGCUGUGGAAACUGACUCCGGUUCCACUGAUUCGGCGGUCCUUGACUGCGCUGAGGGAAUCCCUGCUGAGGGUACGCACGUGGGCGAGUGUUGCUGCCCGACGGCUGCCCCUGGAGCUUUCUCUUCUUCGCAUCCAUCUCCUUGCGCUUGUUGUCGAUGACAAUUGCGCGGUUCACCAAUUCUUGGAAACAAGGGUAGGUGUUGCUCAUCAGCUGCAGCUGCAGUCCAUCAUACAGACCCUUCAGGAAGAGACGCUGCUUGUCAGAGUCCCUGGCCACCUCAUAUGGAGCAUAUCGUAACAGUUGUGCAAACUUGUCAUGAUAUUCACUGACUGACAUCGAUCCCUGCUUGAGGGACCGGAACUCUUCCGCUUUCAGUUCUAUCAGGCCCUUUGGAAUGUGAUGGGACCUGAACCCUUCCGUAAACUCCUUCCAGGUGACUGGCGGAGCGUUGUUCGGGCGUCCAUAUUGAUAGGACUCCCACCACUCCUGUGCAGGUCCUUGCAGCUGGCCUGAUGCGUAUAGCACUUUCUCCAGGUCGCUGCAUUGGGCAAUGUUCAGCUGCUUCUCGACUGCUUUUAACCAGUCGUCUGCCUCCAGUGGAUCAGAGGCAUGGGUGAACACUGGAGGGCGUCCUUUCAAGAACUCCCCUCGCUUGUCACGGAGUUGAACCGGCGGUGGUGCUGCUACUGGUUCAUUGUUCAUACGGUUCAUCAUGGCUUGCAUCAAAUUAGCUUGCAUACCCAUAAGCUGCUCAAUAGUCAUCGGCGGCGGUGGUGGUGGUGGAUUCUCAGGUACACCACGUCCACGGCCACGACCACGGCCACGGCCACGUCCACGACCAGCGGCUGCUCCUUCGGCGUCCAUCUGCUUCCAACAAAGAUUCAGGGCUUUUAGUGAUCUUCCAAAAUAAUUAUUCAUCGCUUAUAAUGAAUAAAAACAAGUCUAGCAGUUUUCUGGACAAGUUUCAAACUCAGCAGGUCAGUAAUCCGUGCUUAUCUCAGAACCUACAGAUCCAAAAGGAAUAUGGUAUACAUCGUUGGAAAGGUUAAGAAAUUCUCUACAAACUUUAUUCAGACCACAUUUACUGAUUCCAACAGUAACAUAAUCAAAAUUGUGAUUCAUCAGGUUCUGCUCUGGUUCUCAGUCUGCGCAGGUACAGCAGAUUAAAACGGACAUAUCUCAUAGAUCCGAACAGAUAAUGAGGUGAUUCUAGUUGGAGAUGAAAGAUAUACCAGUCUAGUUUUCACCCUAAAAAUUUCGUAAUUUUGGACUGAACCGAUAAUGAGAUACUGAAUAAGCAUCACAGACUGCUCCAGAAACAGCAUGACUGAGACAAGAUAAAGUAACCCAACCUCGAAUUUAAACAACAUUACUUCUAAGAUUAAGGUUUAGAAACAUGCGGACAGGCCCACAUGUUUCCACAAUCAAACAAAACUCCAAAUCAUAAAUGUUCAUCAACACAAACAGCAACUCACUAAAGUUCACAUGCCAUACAUUACCGAAAUACUCGUGCUAGCGUCAAUCUAGAAAGUACUGGGAAAAUCUAAGGAGCUCUAUCCUGGAGAACGAACUUGCGGGGCUUCUUCUUGUAGAUGGGUGGCUGUCCAAGCUGACCACGCAGCUCAUCCACCUGACGCUGGAGGCGCUUCCCCGCCUGCUGCGCAACACGCAGCUCCUGCCUCAGUGCCCCAUUCAUCUCCUGAAUGACACUGACGUGUCUCACAGUCGUAUCCAGGGUAGGGUCGCCGGCAGGAGGUGCCAGGACGUGCCAUGUCUUGCCAUCUGGGUCGUUGCGGGGAAGGAACCGGUACCUGUCCUCCUGCAUGGCCUCAAAAUGGCGGCCAUGGUAGUGAAAAUACGCGGCCUGAGCUGCAUCCUCCAUGCUCUCGUAGGCGGAAGCACGUCUAACCCUGCUCUCGUGGAUGGACUCCACCUCGUCCGAGUUGUCGACGUUGUUCCGAGCUGUGAUGAUCACCUCGGCCUUCCAGUAGGUGUUCUCCAACGGGUGCUUGUGCUCCGAGCAAAGGUAGCGGACGGUGGCGGCAAACUCCGGGUAAUAGCUCGCCAACACACCCGUGAGCAGAGUGUGGUAGUGAGCGUCCUCGUCCGCCUCCAUGAACUUGUUCCUGGAGGUCCAUCCCAUCUCCGGAACAACCUGAGGGUACUGAGACGUCGGUGCUGAACCCGUCGACGCGUGGGGUGCAGGCGAAGGUGGUGCAGGUGCAGGUGGUGCAGGCGCAGGUGGAACUGGAGCGGCAGCCUGCGCGGAUCGGUACCGCCACUGGUGUAGGAGCUGAAGGCGUAGGCGUAGGGGACCCCGUGUCCAUAGGCUCCUCCUCCUCGCCGCCACCAGAGGCGACAACCUCGGGCUCAGGUACGGGCGCUGGUGCUGGUACGGGUGCAGGUACUGGGGCUGGUGCUGGUGCAACUGGCGGAGCACGGGCGGCGACGAAGAGGGCACGGUACGCGGCUGCACUGCGACGAGGCAUCUAUAAAUUUUGUUUUAAGAAUUAGAAUCAAUAUAUUUACAUAAAUAGAACAGUGGGUAAGAAUAUAAACUUUUAAUAAAAUAACAAGGAAGUAAAGUGAGCAGUGAGAUAAAUAAAGCCAAAAUAUAAACCCUAAAAUCGACUGUUUCUACCUAGGUUUGCGUCCUACAGUCAGCCUUGCUCUGAUACCAAUUUGUCACACCCAAAUUUAAGGAUAAAUUUGAGUACAUUAAUCUCAUGUGCGCCCCAGGAAUAGUCGCGCACACAAGUCGACAAAUUACAAAUGUAUCAUCACAAGUGUCUUACAUAUCGUUAUUACAACACAAAUAUAUCAAAGUCUGCGACAAACGGAAAAUAAACUCAUACUAGCUAUGAAAGAUAACUCCAACACAGGGAUGACCGACUGGGGGAUCGCCAACCUAGAAGUCCUCAGGGAAUUCCUCGUAGAAGCUGUCAUCUGUUACCCAUCCGGGAUUUUGUCCAAAAAGAAAGAUAAAGACAAGCGUGAGUACAUCUCGUACUCCGCAAGCAUAACAUAGAAUUUUAUGCGGCUCAAAAAGGUCAGACACUGGCUACUGCAGUUAGCAUUUUAAUUGGUCAAUGUUUUAAUCCUAUUUAAUCAUCAAUUAUGCUUAAGCUCCCGAUUAGCCCAAAUGAGCACAUGAUAAUAACACCGUUAACCUUCACGGCUAACACCAUCACCAUCACGGUUAAACCACAUUAAUCAUCACGAUCAAUGCGUCAGAUUUUCAUAAGUUAUUUCCCAUAACCAUCCACACCCAACUAUUCCGUAAGGGUCCAAGGCCGCUCAUGUCCGAGAGCACGGCUAGUAUACCAGUUUGAUCAAACUCUGCGCAGAGGUGUGCACUUUUCCCGUAAGUCGCGUUACCCAUAUGCCCGGGGUUUGCAAGACCCACUAACACUGCCAAGAUGAGCGGGCAGGGAACACUAUGAAGCCUUCCGUAGGCCACGUCUAACCAGUUAGGGCCGCGAGGUUUCCUCGGCAGGCAGAUAUAGAGAACCCCCCUUUCCUAUGGCACAUUUCCAUCACGGCUAUACACAUAGGAACAGAAGCAGUUCUAUACCCAAAGUGGCAAGCCCCUCUUGCGCCCUUUCGGGUAACCUCUAACCAGCUAUAUGAGAUCCUAUUACUGAGCUAAAGUUGGAGCCACAUAACCAUCACGGUUGCACUGUAAGUCCCGGAUUAUCGCUUACAGAGAAGUCCUUACGGAGGGUCUAGGUCAACCCGACCGAAGUCAAUUGUACCAUAGCCCUUUUUCCCAAUAUUUAUCAUCAUAUUUAUUAAAGUCAGAGUGAUACUAAAGUCUCAAUUAAUUAAAGAACUAGCAAAGCUACCCACAUGCAUUCUUCCCAUAGGUGUCAUAUGUGUUUAGUCAGGUAGCUAGGAUAUCCUUAGGGUUAUCAAAAUUAGACACAUGCAAAUGCGUAAUUAAAUAAGUGAAUAGGUGUACAAGGGAAACCCAUGCUAUACUUGCCUUCAGUGAAGGGGAACUGCUGCUGGUCCUGCUGCUCCUCUUAGUAAAAUGGAUCACCCGCGGACACGUCACCGUCUGCGCUCGAUCGGUACCACACAACAACACGCAUCCAGGUUCAUUCAUACAAGCAAACAAUCAUUUAAUUAGAACAGUACACCAACAGAUCAAAAAUGAAAUAAAAUAUUUAAAAACAGAACCUACAAUUCGCUACGAUCACAUAGAUACGAAGAUCACGAAAAUCGGAGCUAAAACGACCAAGUUACGACUUUUCGGCGAUUUCCUAUAGGCAAUUAAUUAAUUAAACCUAACCCUGAAAAUAAAAAGUGGUAAACUAUAGAAACAGUGGUACUAUCAUGUAGAGAAUUUAAAUACGAAUCUAACGUAAUUCGAACGGGUCAAAUCGUAGCUAUAACGAAUAUUUUAUGGCCAAAACAAGUUUAGUGGCAUUUCUGUAAUUUCCUGAAAGCGUAUUUUGACCUAAAUCGAUAGAGUUUACGUUUUCCAACAGAGAAAGCGUAUUCACUCGAAGGCGCUAAGGACUGCGGCCGAAUUUGGAAAUCUAGGAGGGGCUCUUUAAGCAAAUUUUCCCCCGAAGGGGUAUGGUGCGCUGAGGGCCGUUAGAUCGCGAACGGACGGCCGAGAUUAGAGAAAGGGGGAAAAGAGAGAGAGGGGCGGCGCUCCUGGCCGGAGGGAAAGGAGGGCGCGGCGGCGGCCAUUGCUGGCCGACCCAAGCUCGCCGGCGAAAUUCGAUAGGGCGCUACGGGGCAUGGUUUUGCGAACCGAAACUACCGGGAGAGAGAGGAGGUCGCGGCGAACUCGAUUCCAUGCUUAGCGCGGCCGGGGAGACCACGCGUUGCCCGCUCCAUGGCCGGCGGCCAUGGAGCUCGACGGAGUUCGCCGAAACCGACCCCAGCAACCAUGAAACGGAACGAAACGAGCACCGGGAGGAAGCGAGGAAGGAGGCGAUGCUCACCCAGGGGACGAAACGCGGCAAAAGGGCUCCAAACGGAGGAACGACGCGCGACGGCGCUUGCUGCUCCGGCAGUUUCUUUUCUGCGCUAGAAUGAGUGGAAAACGGAGGCGAGGAGGGGGAAUGGGGGAGAAAGAACAGGGCUCGGGGGCGGGGCUCUUCAAAAGCUUCCGAGGCGCGGGGAAAAAGGGAUAGGGGGAUCGUGGGCGCGGGGCUCGGCCCGGGCGGUUUCCAACUGAGAGGAAGGAGCGGGGCGUCGGUUGGGAGAAGAGGGAGCUGACAGGCGGGCCCGGCCUGUCAGCGGGGGAAGAGAGAGAGGGGAGGCCGGCUGGGCCGCGGCCCAGGAAGGAGAUGGGGCGCGCGGGGUGGGUUGCUGGGCUACCAGGCCGAAAAGAGGAAGGGGGAGAGAGGGAAAGGAUUUUCUUUCUUUUUUUAUACACAAUUUCCAAAUGAAUUUCUUUUCUUCAAAUAUUUUCUUGAGCAAGAUAUUUUGGUUUUAAAAACAAUCAUCACAAAAGAAAUGCUCCAGCAUGAAUGCAACAUAAAUGUUUCUCUAAGCUCACAUUAAAUUUUAAUUUCUCCAAAUUUAUUUAUUUUCCUAUAUUGAAAAUGCUCACAAAAUAAAUUCAUUUAAAUUGAUUUCAUCUAUUUAAAAGAAACAAAAUUUUUUGGGUGUUACAUUACUACUAUUUUUAAUAUUUUUAUUUUCUUUUUAAGGUAGUAUGAACAUGAUUAACUAAGUAAACUUUUUAAAUAUUUGAAAGGAAAAAAUAACUACCAAGUUUACCUCUUGGCAAGGCGUUCGGUGUUUUUAAGUCCUCCGAACGGGACUCUCCGUUUUCUCAGUCGUCCUGGGAUUCGUUGGAUGGCGCAGUCGGUGCUUCCAGCGGCGCCUCUUCUUCGUGUAUAGUUAUCUUCUCUCUCCACACCUGACUCAGUGCUACGGUCUCCUCAGGAUAAUCUUGUUCAAGCUGUAUGUCUUCAGAUCUUAUUACUUCUCCUUUAUAGUUUGCCCAUCCGUCCUUGAUGAUUUACCUCCUCUUGUUGCGGUUGCGUCAUCUUCUUCUUGUCCUCACCUGCUUAGAGUCUUCAACGAUAUAGUUAGGGUGAGUAAAAUAGCGGCGUACCUUCUCUGAGGGUAAGUGCAUAUGGACUUCUCCAGUUCGAAAUGUAGAUGAUUGCUUUAACGGUGCUGAGAAAUGGUCUUCCAAGGAUGAUGGGUGGAUCGUAUUCGUCUUCUCCCUUGUCAAUAACCUGAAAGUCUGUGUAGACAAAAUGAUCGUCUAUUUUGACAGGGACAUCAGUUACUAUUCCUUUAACCUCUUGAACUGUCUGAUUUGCCAUCAGGAGCUGAAUGUAUGUUGGUUUUAAGGGCAUGGUUCCGAAUAAGAGCCGAUAGGUGACUGCGGCCAUUAUAUUGACGCCCGAUCCGGUGUCGCAAAACGUCUUGUAGAAGUUGUACCCACUUAUGGAGCAAUAGAUGCUUGGCAUUCCUGCGUUGUUCUUCUUGGUCAGAAACGGUGACUUAAGUUGAUGAUCUUGUCCUUCAAGAACUGCAGUGACCAUCUUAACUGACUCGGUUCACACUUGCUUGUUCCUGUUCCUCCUGUUGGUUCUUUGUUGACGGUCCUUAAGUAUCAAAUUUAAUUAUCAAAUAAAUAAAGAAAAGGAUCCAAAUGAAAUCAACAUCUAGACUUAGGGUUUUAUUUGACAGAAUUCCAUGAGUUUUGGUGUUUGUCUAUUUCUGCAGGGGGUUAUCAGGAAAUACGGAAGAAAGGCCCACACGUCGGGAUUACAUAGAGAUAUUAACGUGCCGCGCAAUUAUCUUACAUCUAGAAGACUCCAGAAGCCACGAGACCGAAGCGGAGGCGAAACGGGGCCAGAGGCAGGGCGCCCGCCCUGUUCCCCUAGGCGACCAAUCAGGACUCUGCUUCAUGGGAGAUCUCCACCGACCUAAAGGAUGAAUCUAAACCAUACAAUCUAUGUCGGUUUGAUCCAACGGCCCAUAUUCACUUGAAGAGACUAUAAAACCAGACCCCCUGGCCCCUGGAGGAGAGAGCCUCUCAACCCUAAUUCAUUGUUCCUCAAGGGAGAAGAAGCCUCUGAUCAAGAUUAGAGCCACCACAUCAAUUAGAUAUCUAGAUUAGCAUAGCUACAUAGGAUUAGAACUAGAAGGAGUCAAUCUUCGAUUGGUUUCCGGAUGUGUCAAGAGGAUUCUUGGUAAUUCUCUAAUUGUGCUUCUAAUUGCUUUCUAAUUAUCUUUGUUAUUCAAUAUUAUGAAUAUGACUUUGUUCUACUUCAAUAUAUUGCUUAUGACUUUGCUCUAUUUGCUUAUAUUCAAGAUUAUAUUGUUCUUAGUUUAUCAUAGUUAUGUACUGGGCUUAGUUAGAUUGGAUCUAUAUACAUGCUUAGGAUCGUAUAGCGUUUAUCCAUCGGAUCCAUGGGUAAAUGAUAGAUAUUGUGUAGGCAUGGUGCUUAUACCGUAUUUAUCUGCGAUUGUACCCAAUAUGCCAGAUCGUGGGGUGGUUCGUGAUAGUGACAGCUUUAUUGAUUCUUAUAUAGUCCCCCUCUCGUCUAUUGGGCUGGCAGAGCAACAUUAUUACAGGGGAGUGAUUGCUAUGUUUCUCAUAUUCCUUGCUAAUAUCACUAUGCAUGGGUGUAGUCUUGUCUCACAAUGAUUGCUAAGUAUGCUUGCACUAACUAUGAUAAUGCUAGACUAUAUAGUUGAGAAUAACUUAGGGAAUAUUCUUGUAGUUCGUUCUAAUACCAUGCUAAUGACUUUCUAGAGUAUCUAAUUGAGGUGCUUAUCAUAUUUAUUAUGUGGCUAGAUCAGAUUAAUUAACUGUCACUAUUAUUACUUCAUAUAUCUUUUAUGUGACACUUAUCCCUGUAUGAAGAGUUAGAUAUAAUGUUCUCAAUUAUACAUGCAAUGAUAGAUGCUCAAUCUCAUAUUCUAUUCUGUAAUCAAUAGUGAUGAUUGCUAAUCCCUUCCCAGUGGUAAAAAUAUAAAUAAUGGUACCUGGAAUACUUCCCGGUUAAAAUGCUACAUCGGUAUUAAUCUGUGCGCUUGCAGAUCCCAUUCAUUAGUUAUUUAGAAGAGCAAUUGCAUAUUUCAAUACCGCGUCUCUUAUAUCAUGCUGGGGAUGACAACUUGGCUUAAGUGGUGUGAGGGAUAGGUUUGGCAUUUUUGGCACCGUUACUAGAUUUAGAGAACUUAGUCUACUUUUGGUAAUGAUGUUAAGAAUACCCAACAAGCAUUUUUGGCGCCGUUGCCGGGGAAGGUUGAUUACUAAUCAGGAAUGGAAUAAAAGAUUUUGAGUUAUCAUUCGCAUCACUAAUAUGAUUGAGCUUAUCUAUUCUCUCAUACAGUUUUACCCCGAUAUUUUUCUGUUUUAUCUUAUGCUGGGGAAUGUAUGAAUAGAAGACAUCUUCCAGGAAAUUUUGUUGACAAUCCCAAAGCAUUAUUCAAGAAGACGAGAGCUAAGUUCAAGAAGAGAUCAUCAACACUUCAGCAAGAAGCUUCAUCCAAUCAAGAAGAUCACCGGAACUUGUCUUCAGAGUUCGAGGCCAUGGCGAACAAAUCAAUCCGCGAGUUCUCAGCUCCCACUACGGACAACAUCCGCACUGGACCUGCUGCAGAGAUCGACGGCAACUUUGAGCUCAAGCCUGGACUUAUCAACAUGGUGCAAUCCAACCAGUUCUGUGGGAAGGCACACGAAGAUGCUAGUGCUCAUUUACAACACUUCCUGGAGAUUUGCAACACAUUCACCAUAUCAGGAGUUUCCAAAGAUGCUAUACUACUUCGCCUCUUCCCAUUCUCACUGUUAGGAAGAGCGAAGCAGUGGUUCUACGCUUUAAAGGAGAAGAAUACUACGUGGGCACUCUGCUCAACAAACUUCCUGGCAAAGUUCUCUCCCAUGGGCAAGACCAAUGCUCUCCGUGGGAAGAUUACAAGUUUUCAGCAACAAAAUGAUGAAUCUGUUCCAGAAGCAUGGGAGCGCUUUCAAGACUACAUCCUAGAAUGUCCCCAUCAUGGAAUGGAGAGUUGGCUAUUGAUGCAGACGUUUUAUCAUGGGCUCGGCAACAGUGCCCGAGAGACCAUGGAUGCUGCAGCUAGAGGAGCAUUCUUAUCACUUACUAUACCACAAGCCACAGCUCUUGUGGAGAAGAUGGUGUCUAACCAAAGCUGGAAUGAAGAGAGGACCCAGACACGCAAGAGAGGUGGAGGUAUGCAUCACCUGAAGGAGGUAGACAUGCUAUCUGCAAAGCUAGACCUGCUCAUGAAGAAGCUCGACGAUAGAGUUGGAGAUAAGAAGGAAGUUAUGCACAUCUACGACUCUCACAUGACUUGUGAGGAGUGUGGAGACACUGGACACUCAGGCAACCACUGCCCUGAGAUACUUGAGGAUGUGAACUACAUCAACAACAACAACUACUACUACUACAACCGUCCUCAACAAAAUCAAGGUUGGAAUCAAUAAAGGCCUAACUACUUAGGUAAUUAUCAAGGUAACAAUUCUUACAACAAUAAUAAUAAUUUUCCACCUCUGAGAGAGUUAGUGUCUAAUCAAGGAAAGCUAAUGGAUAAUCUAUCUAAGAAAUUGGCAUCUAAUGAUAAAAUACUAGAAAAUAUAAAUAAUAGAAUGGAUAAUUUCUCUACUGCCAUCAAGAAUUAAAUUAGCUUUAAUAAAAUCAUUGAAUCUCAGUUAAAUCAAAUAGCUGCUGUUGUUCCUACUACUAACCCCGGUAUACCAUCACAACCGGAAGGAUUAGAAUCUGCAAAUCUUGUAGACAUGUUUGAUGCAGGUAAUUGGAGUAACCCCGUCACUGAAUUCUCUACUGACCUUGUGCCAGUCAAGAGAGGCGAUCCAGGACGCCCCGUCAUCCCGAUCUCCAUCGGCAUGGUGGACGUCCCAGAAGCACUCUGCUACUUUGGCUCUAGUGUCAACAUUAUACCCAGGGUACUCUAUGAAAAAUUCUUUACAUAUCCUAGAGACAACCAUGUGUUUGCAGUUUGCAGAUCAGACGAUAACUUUUCCAAAAGGAAUAUUGAGGAACCUUUGUGUCUGAGUUGGUACCUUGUAUGCCCCAGCAGACUUCGUAGUGGUAGAGACCGGAAAUGAUGAGAGAGCACCUAUCAUCUUAGGAAGGCCAUUCUUGAACACCACGGGAGCUAUCAUCUACGCUAGUGCUGCCAAGAUCAGUUUCUACGUCAAAGGGAGGAAGGAGACAUUUUUCUUCAAGAACAAGACUGCACAAAUUCCAGAUCAAUCCAGACGUGAGUCAAGGAAGAGGACCAACAGGAGGAACAGGAACAAGCAAGUGUGGACCGAGUCAGCUAAGAUGGUCACUGUAUUUCAUGGAGGCCAAGAUCACCAACUUAAGUCACCGCUUUUGACCAAGAAGGACGACCUAGGAAUGCCAAGCAUCUACUGCUCCAUAAAUGGAUAUAACUUCUAUAAGGCAACUUGUGACACCGGAUCGGGCGUCAACAUAAUGGCCGCAGUCACCUAUCGGCUCUUGUUCAGAACCAUGCCUCUAAGACCAACAUACAUUCUGCUCCAGAUGGCAGAUCAGACGUUUCGAGAAGUUAAAGGAAUAGUAACUGAUGUCCCAGUCAAAAUAGACGAUCACUUUGUCUACACAGACUUUCAAGUUAUUGACAUGGGAGAAGACGAGUAUGAUCCACCCAUCAUCCUUGGAAGACCGUUCCUCAGCACCGUUAAAGCAAUUAUUUACAUUGGAACCGGAGAAGUCCAUAUGCACUUCCCCUCAGAGAAGGUACGCCGUUAUUUUACUGACCCUAACUAUAUCAUUGAAGAAUCUAAGCAGGUCAGAAAGAGACGCAACCGCAACCAGAGGAGGCAGAUCAUCAAGGACGGAUGGGCAGACUAUGAAGGAGAAGUUGUAAGGUCAGAAGACGUAGAGUUUAAACAGAAUUAUCCAGAAGCACCAAGACAGGUGUGGAAAAUGAAGAUAACUAUACAUGAAGAGGAGGCGCUACCGGAAGUACCGACUACGCCACCCAACGAACCUCAGGACAAUUGAGAAAACGGAGUCCCGUUCGGAGGACUUAAAAACACCGAACGCCUUGCCAAGAGGUAAACUUGGUAGUUAUCCUUUCCCUUUCAAUUAUGUCAAUUAGUUUACUUAGUUAAUCAUGUUCGUGCUAUCCUAAAAAGAAAAAUAAAAAUGUGAAAAACAGUAAGCCCCAUGUGAGUAGACGAGUGGCAUAAAACCCAUAAGUACAUUCACUGUGGUGGCAUAAAAAUAAAAUAAAUAUUUCUUUUCUGCUUUAUAAAAUGAAAAUAUAAAAACAAGAAGUAACAAUUAUUAAGGAGUCUCAACAUGAUAAAGGCUAGAUAUUUAUGCUAACACUUAAUCAGUUCCACAAGCUUUGUCGUCUAUUUGAGCUCCACAGAAUUUAAGAAUCAAGAAGACUAGCAGACGGAGGACAUUCUAAUCGCUGUCAGAAUGCUGCUGACUUUCAAAUACACCUCUGCCACCUGCUAGCUACAUCAAGAGAAAUUACGUCAAAAUUCAGCUUGGGAGAGAGCACCCCCAUUUAUCUCGAUAAGUAUUUUUAUCUAUCUAUCUUUAUGCUUAUACUAUAUUAAAAUAUAAAUAUAACUAUGGAAAACCAAAUAAAGAUUUUGUGCUUAUAUAUAUAUAUAUAUAUAUAUAUAUAUAUCUUUUGCUUAGUGUGUUUAAUAAAUAAAUAAAGUGGCUAUGCUAAUCUGUAUCUAAAUAAAACUUAAGCAUGGAUAUGAUGAAUAGUUGCUCUGCCUAAUUUGCACAUUUUAAGUUCUCUCUCAAGUUUAGACAUAACUGUUAUAAUUUAAAGCUUGCUCUAGACCUAAACUUGUGGGAUGAAAACUUGAUCUGAAGUCUAAGUUGUUAAUGGAUACGAUAUGGGAAGGUUGAGCUGUUGUUUAUCUGUUCCUAGAGAUGCUAGAAUUCUGGAGAAUUUUAUUUUUAAAAAUCUUUAAAAUGUUGCAUGAUGAGUUCCUGUAUGAUGAGAGUUUAAAUUCCUACCACAGCCAUAUAUACAUGCUUAUUAGACUUUGAGCCACACAUUUACUAUUUACUGCUUAUGAGCAUUGAGUGUGGUCAAGCUGUGUAGAUCCUUAGGAGCUUGUCAUGUGGUUAAAUCAAGAUUUCACUUGCACGUUCACUCAUAUAUGCUACUUCUACUCCGGAAGUACCAUCCACAUAUAUCAAUCCAUUUCCAUCUCCAGAAUCACCCAAAAAUAUUCUACUCCUAAUCCAGGAGAGAAUAGCCAAAAAUAUUUCUGUUUUCCCUUAUGAAAUAAAUGCUCAAGUUAUCUUGUUACUACCACUUGCUAUAUUAUCUCAUGAGAUGAGUGCUCUACAAAAAAAAGAAGGAAUACAAGGAAAUAAAAAGGAGCAAGUGCUCGGAACCUCAAAAGAAAAGAAAAAAGUGAGACGAGAGGUAAAAAUAGACAAGUGUCCGACAGUAGAAUUAGAGGUACAAGAUACCCACCUGAGAGAAAAGAAAAAGAAGAGCAUCUCAUUCUCCUCAUAAAGUUUCAAAAAGCAAGGAAGGUAUGUAUCCCCUCAAAGAGCAAAGUAGAAUUAGACUUCCACCACCAUUGUUUCCACCAUUGUUAUCACCAUCAUCACCAUACACCGUUCAUUCGCCACACAUGCACAUCUUGAUUUGGCUUAUUGAUUUGUUUCUUUAGAUCCAUAGUUUGACUAUACAAUAAAUGUCUUAUAAGUAUAUAUAUUUUAUUUCCUACCUAUGAGCUCCAGAUAUUAAAGCCUUAUUAGAGUAGGGUGAGAGAGAAGGCAAUGUCACUAUGCCUUAUACCACAAAUACUACAUAUCUUGAGAGAAGGCAUAUACCAUCACUACCUUGGUAAGGAUCCAGAAAUACCAUAAAAGAGAGAUCUAAGAGAAUCAUACAAAGAAUUUCUGAGUUUUAUUUGAAAAUCUAAAAAAAACACCAGAGCUAUAGCUGAUCAAGAAUAAGAGACAUGGCACUUGACUAGACUGUUCUAUCUUUUAACCACUCAAGACAGAAGUGACGGUUACAAGUCCCAUGGUGAAGGUAAAGUAAGUAAGUUUUAAGUCUUGACAGUUUACUCUAACUCAGAGAUGAGAUGUUAUUUAAAAAGCUUGUGUACCGUCAAAUUUUUAAAAAUAUUGCAACAACUUAUGAUCCAUAGUUGAGUUUAUCCUUGCUCAGGGACGAGCAAGAGGUAAGCUUGGGGGAGUUUGUUGACGGUCCUUAAGUAUCAAAUUUAAUUAUCAAAUAAAUAAAGAAAAUGAUCUAAAUGAAAUCAACAUCUAGACUUAGGGUUUUAUCUAACAGAAUUCCACGAGUUUUGGUGUUUGUCUAUUUCUGCAGGGGGUUAUCAGGAAAUACGGAAGAAAGGCCCACACGUCAGAAUUACAUAGAGAUAUUAACGUGCCGCGCAAUUAUCUUACAUCUAGAAGACUCCAGAAGCCACGAGACCGAAGCGGAGGCGAAACGGGGCCAGAGGCAGGGCGCCCGCCCUGUUCCCCUGGGCGCCCGCCCACCUCUGGAGUCCAAUCAGGACUCUGCUUCGUGGGAGAUCUCCACCGACCUAAAGGAUGAAUCUAAACCAUACAAUCUAUGUCGGUUUGAUCCAACGACCCAUAUUCACUUGAAGGGACUAUAAAACCAGACCCCCUGGCCCCUAGAGGAGAGAGCCUCUCAACCCUAAUUCAUUGUUCCUCAAGGGAGAAGAAGCCUCUGAUCAAGAUUAGAGCCACCACAUCAAUUAGAUAUCUAGAUUAGCAUAGCUACAUAGGAUUAGAACUAGAAGGAGUCAAUCUUCGAUUGGUUUCCGGAUCUGUCAAGAGGAUUCUUGGUAAUUCUCUAAUUGUGCUUCUAAUUGCUUUCUAAUUAUCUUUGUUCUUCAAUAUUAUGAAUAUGACUUUGUUCUACUUCAAUAUAUUACUUAUGACUUUGCUCUAUUUGCUUAUAUUCAAGAUUAUAUUGUUCUUAGUUUAUCAUAGUUAUGUACUUGGCUUAGUUAGAUUGGAUCUAUAUACAUGCUUAGGAUCGUAUAGCGUUUAUCCAUCGGAUCCAUGGGUAAAUGAUAGAUAUUGUGUAGGCGUGGUGCUUAUACCGUAUUUAUCUACGAUUGUACCCAAUAUGUCAGAUCGUGGGGUGGUUCGUGAUAGUGACAGCUUCAUUGAUUCUUAUAUAGUCCCCCUCUCGUGUAUUGGGCUGGCAGAGCAACAUUAUUACAGGGGAGUGAUUGCUAUGUUUCUCAUAUUCCUUGCUAAUAUCACUAUGCAUGGGUGUAGUCUUGUCUCACAAUGAUUGCUAAGUAUGCUUGCACUAACUAUGAUAAUGCUAGACUAUAUAGUUGAGAAUAACUUAGGGAAUAUUCUUGUAGUUCGUUCUAAUACCAUGCUAAUGAAUUUCUAGAGUAUCUAAUUGAGGUGCUUAUCAUAUUUAUUAUGUGGCUAGAUCAGAUUAAUUAUCUUUGUCACUAUUAUUACUUCAUAUAUCUUUUAUGUGACACUUAUCCCUGUAUGAAGAGUUAGAUAUAAUGUUCUCAAUUAUACAUGCAAUGAUAGAUGCUCAAUCUCAUAUUCUAUUCUGUAAUCAAUAGUGAUGAUUGCUGAUCCCUUCCCAGUGGUAAAAAUAUAAAUAACGGUACCUGGAAUACUUCCCGGUUAAAAUGCUACAUCGGUAUUAAUCUGUGCGCUUGCAGAUCCCAUUCAUUAGUUAUUUAGAAGAGCAAUUGCAUAUUUCAAUACCGCGUCUCUUAUAUCAUGCUGGGGAUGACAACUUGGCUUAAGUGGUGUGAGGGAUAGGUUUGGCAUUUUUGGCACCGUUACUAGAUUUAGAGAACUUAGUCUACUUUUGGUAAUGAUGUUAAGAAUACCCAACAUUCUUUUCUUUGUUUCUUGUCGGGACUGCUCUGGAAUUUGUGUAGCCUUGUUCUUGAAGGAAAACAUCUCCUUCCUCCCUUUGAUGUAGAAACUGAUCUUGGCAGCACUAGCGUAGAUGACAGCUCCCGAGGUGUUUAAGAAUGGCCUCCCUAAGAUGAUAGGUGCCCUCUCAUCAUUACCGGUCUCUAUCACCACGAAGUCUGCUGGGGCGUACAAGGUACCAACUCGGACGUAGAGGUUCUUCAAUAUUCCCUUUGGGAAACUUAACGCCUGAUCUGCAAACUGCAAACACAUGGUUGUUUCUAAUAAAGGAUAUGUAAAGAAUUUUUCAUAGAGUACCCUGGGCAUAAUGUUGACACUAGAGCCAAAGACGCAGAGUGCUUCUGGGAAGUCCACCAUGCCGAUGGAGAUCGGGAUGACGGGGCGUCCUGGAUCGCCUCUCUUGACCGGCAAAAGGUCAGUAGUAACUUCAGUGACGGGGUUACUCCAGUACACUAGUACAGGGAAGGGCUUUAGCCCCGGGCCGUAAGCGCCUUUAGUCCCGGCUACGGAACCGGGGCUAAGGUUUCGGGACUAAAUGUCCCACCUUUAGUCCCAGUUCCGUGGACCGGGACUAAAGGUCCACCUUUAGUCCCGGUCAGUAACAGCAACCGGGACUAAAAGGUGCGCCAGGGUGUGCCACCUGGCCUCCACUUUUAGUCCCGGUUGUUGCUACCAACCGGGACUAAAGACUUUUUUCUUUUUUCUUUUUUCUUUUUUCUUUUUCUUUUCAUUUGGUUUUCCAUUUAGGGUUUACAAUUAUGUUAUUGUUAUUUUCGAAUGCGUAUUGUUUGCUGGUAGUUUAUGGAACACGCACCUAUAAUUUAUAUAAUUUAAAGGAUUACAUAUAAAUAUACUAUAAAACACUAUAUAUAUAUAAAUAAUAUGUAUCUAUAGGUCCAUAAUAAAAUAUUUACACAUAUGCUUCAUGGACAAAGUAUUUACAACACAAUUUAUCUCCACCACUCAAGCAUCGUACAAAUGAUCAUCGUUAUUUGGUUUCAUCUGCUCCUGAGGGUUGAAGUAGCACUCGCCGCCGGAAUCCAGGACUUGGUCGUUAAGAAAUCCUGCGAUUGUCUCCUGAAUUCUUUUUAGGCGCACCGCAUCCAACACCUGCUCCUUCAGCCACAUCUCCUUUAAUAGACAUUAAAGAAAAAAGUUAGAGGUAUGAAUAGGAUUUAUUAAAUAGCAACAAAUAAAUGAAAUAUACUUAUUAUAUAUACAUGUUACAUACUUUUAGGUGCUCAAGAUUAGUUCUUUUGGCAUACACCGUCAUAAACUCGCACACAUAGUAGCCACACAAAUUGUUGCCCGGUGUCUGCCGUAGAACCCACUGAAGUAAGAUGGGCUUUGAAAGUGAUGCAUUCAACUCUGGACGGUGUUUCUGCACGAACCCAGCCCAAACUAUAGCAAUAAAACGAUCAUUAUUAAUUAUCCAUUACCAAGUUAAAAGAGCAGAAUUUAAUAUAUAGAGAUCGGAGUUACCCUUGGAUAAUAUCUAUCAUUUCUUGGUAAUCAUCCUGUGGUUUUCUCAAUGAGUCAUAGAUUACCAAUUGACAUUGCCAGAGAUCAAUGACAAUUAGUAUCCAAUGAAAGCUGCAUUUGUGUGCAUAUGUAGGCAAAAUUAGUAUAUAUCUUCAUAUUGAUCUGAUUAAUUAGUUAAAUAGAAUGUACACACGAUAACGACACUUACUUAAAGUUGUAGGGAAAGAGUAUAUAUCUUUUAUCUUUUUGGUUGAUCAAGAACCUCCGUAGAUUUCUCUCCGUUUGAGUUCUCCAUAAAACAUACGGGGUCUUGUGGUCUUUGAAUACAACAUUUGGAUCCACAAAUCCAAUCUCCUUGUCAUUUCUAACUCUGAGGUCCCACAUCAUGUUUCUGCAUAUGUAUAGCGGGUUUCUGUAAUUAGUUAUAUAUAUACAUGAUAAGUUACAGAGACAUUAUUGAAAGGAAGAAUCACUUACAGACAGAAGCAACUCAUUAGAGAUUUGUCAAGAGCGUCCAUGUGGCAUAGUUGGUGUAGCUCAUUAAAUUGAACAUAAAUAAUAUCAUCACCACGGACCUUGAACAGAAAUUUCUUCUCAGGCACAUUAAUUAUACCUUUUAUAUUAGAGGAGAAUCCAGAUGGGACCUUGAUGCUGCUUAAGCAUUCAAACAUGAUUUCUUUCUCUUCAUUGCUAAGAGUGUAGCUAGCAGGUCUUAAAUAUUGGCGUCCAUCAUCUGUCUUCUCUGGAUGCAGGUUGUCUCGUUCUUCCAUGCGUUGCAAGUCUUGUCGUGCUUCAAGUGAAUCCUUAGGCUUACCAUAUACACCCAUGAAUCCUAGAAUGUUCACACAAAGAUUCUUUGUUAGGUGCAUGACGUCGAUCGCAUUCCGGACCUCUAGGACUUGCCAAUAGGGUAGCUCCCAAAAUAUUGACUUCUUCUUCCACAUGGGUGCAUGACCCGCUGCAUCUUUUGGAACUGGUUGGCUGCCUUGUCCCUUACCAAAAACUACUUUCACAUCCUUAACCAUCUCAAAUACAUCUUCUCCAGUUCUAUUGCGAGGCUUGCAUCGGUGGUCUGUCUUACCUUUAAAAUGCUUUCCUUUCUUUCUAACUGGGUGAUUCAUAGAAAGAAAUCGACGAUACCCAAGGUACACGACCUUUCUGCAUUCUUUCAAAUAUAUACUAUCAAGGUCAACAAAACAAUGUGUGCAUGCAUUAUAUCCCUUGUUUGUCUGCCCUGAAAGAUUACUUAGAGCAGGCCAAUCAUUGAUUGUCACAAACAACAGUGCUCGUAGGUCGAAGUGUUCCUGUUUGUACUCAUCCCACACACGAACACCUGUUUCACUCCAUAAAAGAAGGAGUUCUUCAAUUAAUGGCCUUAGAUAGACAUCAAUGUCAUUGCCCGGUUGCUUCGGGCCUUGGAUGAGCACCGGCAUCAUAAUGAACUUUUGCUUCAUGCAUAACCAUGGAGGAAGGUUGUAGAUACAUAGUGUAAGAGGCCAAGUGCUAUGACUACUGCUUUGCUCACCAAAAGGAUUCAUACCGUCCGUACUUAAAGCGAACCUUAAGUUUCUUGCGUCUUUUGCAAACUCUGGAAAUUCCCUGUCUAUUGCUCUCCACUGGGACCCAUCAGCAGGGUGUCUCAACAUGUUGUCUACUUUACGGUCUUCUUUGUGCCACCGCAAUAAUUUUGCAUGGUCUUUAUUUCUAAAAAGACGUUUCAGACAUGGUAUUAUAGGAGCAUACCACAUAACCUUUGCAGGGAUUUUUUUUCUGGGACGUUCUUCCCCCUCAACAUCGCCAGGGUCAUCUCGCCUGAUCUUAUACCGUGAUGCUUUACAUACGGGGCAUUCAUCUAAAUUCUCGUAGUCCUUGCCACGGUAUAGGAUGCAGUCGUUAGGACAUGCAUGUAUCUUCUUGAUUUCUAAUCCCAAAGGACAGACGAUCUGUUUUGCUUCGUACGUAGUAGUGGGCAGUUCAUUAGGCUUUGGCAGCAUUUUUUUUGGAUCUUCAGUAAUUGCCCAAAUGCCUUAUCAGAUACACCAUUCUGUGCCUUCCAUUUUAACAGUUCUAGUGUUGUACCCAGUUUUUUUUGCCCAUCCUGGGCAGAUGGGUAUAAUAAUUUCUUGUGAUCUUCUAACAUGUGGUCAAACUUUGUCUUCUCUUUUUCACUGUCGCAAUCUUUUUGUGCCUCACGAAUGACAUCACCAAGAGCAUCAUCUUCAACAGGUGCGCCUUCUGCAUCUGCCUCAUCUUCAGCUUCUCCCAUUGCUGUAUCACCGAAGUCACCGUAUUGAGCAAUAAUGUCGUCAAGCUCCAACUGUUCUUCUUCACCUUCUUCCAUCAUUAUCCCGUUUUCUCCAUGCUUGGUCCAACAAAUAUAGUUUGGCAUAAAACCCGACUUCAACAAAUGUGAGUGAAUAUUUCUAGAGCUAGAAUAUUCCUUCAAAUUCUGACACAAGGCACAUGGGCAACAUAUGAAUCCAUCCCGCUUGUUUUCCUCGGCCACUCUUAAGAAAUAAUGCACACCAUCAAUGAAUUCUUUGGAGCGGCGAUCGGCAUUGUACAUCCAAUGACGUGUCAUUGUCUGCAUUGCAAUGUAAAGUAUUAUAAGUUUCUAAUUUUUUAUAAAGAAAUUAAAGUAACAAAUAACCUAAAAUUCUCUAUUUCUGGUUAUUCUAAACCAACAAAAUUAAAAAGACAUAAAAGUUCUCUAUUUUCUAACUAAUCAUGAAAUGUGGCAUGCAUACUAGUUAUAAUUAACUAAUUAACCAUGUCAUAAAGUGCAAAUUAAAGUAUUAUAAGUUUCUAAUUUUUAAUAGAGAAAUUAAAGUAACAAAAAACCUAAAAUUCUCUAUUUCUAAUUUUUCUAAACAAGCUAAAUUAAAAAAGCACAAAAAUUCUCUAUUUUCCUAAAUAAUCAUGAAAUGUGGUAUGUAUACUAGUUAUAAUUAAAUAACUAAAUCGGUCAAAAAUAACAAAUUAAAGUAUUAUAUGUUUUUAUUUUUAAUAGAGAAAUUAAAGUAACAAAAAACCUAAAAUUCUAUAUUUCUAUUUUUUCUAAACAAGCUAAAUUAAAAAAGCAAAAAAAUUCUCUAUAUUCUAAAAUAAUCAUGAAAUGUGGUAUGUAUACUAGUUAUAAUUAACUAACUAAAUCGGUCAAAAAUUGCAAAUUAAAGUAUUAUAUGUUUUUAUUUUUUUCUAAACUAAUUAAAAUAAAAAACAUAUUACCACUAUUUCUCUAAAAAAACGCGUCGCUUUUGAAAUGGCGAUGAAGCUAAUAACCUCUUAAAAAAACCAUAAAAUAAAAAAUAAUAUACAUAACACUAGGAAAUGACAUACGUUGCUUCUAAAUGUUGAGAAGAUGAAGCUAGUGACCUCUUAACAAGUCGAUGACGGUGUAGAAACGAUAAAAUGAAUCAAUAGCCGGAGAUGAGAGCAAGCUAGAACAAGCAACUCCAAAUGAAGAACACAGCAAAAGAGUGAAGAUCGAUGGGCUCGGCCACGAGAAGAAGAGUUCAAAUAUGGGGAGGGACAUUUAAUUCCGCUUCCUUUUAAAAACCGGGACUAAAUUCCAACACUAGUCUCGGCCGGUGGGACGGACCGGGACAAAAGCUUUUAAUCCCGGUUGGUGGUACCAACCGGGACUAAAGGCUAGGCUUUUGUCCCGGUUGGUCUCACCAACCGGGACUAAUUAUUUUUUUGUCCCGGACUCUGUUUUGGCCGAGAUUAUUGUUUAUUUUGGGCAAGUGACCAAAGGCUUGUUCUGUAGUAGUGGUAGUUACCUGCAUCAAACAUGUCUACAAGAUUUGCAGAUUCUAAUCCUUCCGGUUGUGAUGGUAUACCGGGGUUAGUAGCAGGAACAGCAACAGCUAUUUGAUUUAACUGAGAUUCAAUCAUUUUAUUGAAGCUAAUUUGAUUCUUGAUGGCAGUAGAGAAAGUAUCCAUUCUAUUAUUUAUAUUUUCUAGUAUUUUAUCAUUAGAUGCCAAUUUCUUAGAUAGGUUAUCCAUUAGCUUUCCUUGAUUAGACACUAACUCUUUCAGAGGUGGAAAAUUAUUAGUAUUAUUGUAAGAAUUAUUACCUUGAUAAUUACCUGAGUAGUUAGGCCUCUGUUGAUUCCAAGCUUGAUUUUGUUGAGGACGGUUGUAGUAGUAGUAGUUGCUGUUGUUGAUAUAGUUCACAUCCUCAAGCAUCUCAGGACAGUGAUUGUCUGAGUGUCCAGUAUCUCCACACUCCUCACAAGUCAUGUGAGAGUCGUAGAUGUGCAUAACUUCUUUCUUAUCUCCAGCUCUAUCAUCGAGCUUCUUCAUGAGCAGGUCUAGCUUAGCAGACAGCAUGUCUACUUCCUUGAGCUGAUGCAUACCUCCACCUCUCUUGCGUGUCUGGGUCCUCUCUUCAUUCCAGCUUUGGUUGGACGCCAUAUUCUCCAGAAGAGUUUGUGGCUUGUGAUAUGGAAAGCACCAUGUAUUACUGGAAAAAAAAGAGUUUUCACCGCUUGGUAAAUUUAGACCACCUAGUAUUAGAGUUGAGUACGGCUUGAAAGUAUACAAAAUUUACCCAGUUGGUCUAACGUAAUGUUUCAGAUUUAGGCCCUGUUUAGUUACCCAUCCAAAAAAUUUUCAUACAUCCCAUCGAAUCUUUGGACACAUGCAUGGAACAUUAAAUGUAGAUAAAAAAAAUAAACUAAUUACACAGUUUGGUUGAAAAUUACGAGACGAAUUUUUUAAGCCUAGUUACUCCAUGAUUAGCCUUAAGUGCUACAGUAACCCAAAUGUGCUAAUGAUAGAUUAAUUAUACUUAAUAGAUUUGUCUUGUAGUUUUCUAACGAUCUAUAUAAUUUGUUUUUUUAUUAGUUUCUAAAACCCUUCCCGACAUCUUUCCGACAUAUUCGAUGUGACACACAAAAAAUUUUCAUCCUCAAACUAAACAGGGCCUUAGAGAUGAUUCAGAACUCGAGCAAUAUUAAAGACCAUCCAUGUGCAAAGCUUCAAGUAAAUUUGUUUCAGAUUUGCUUGUACGCCAUGUGUCUGAACCACCUGCAAACAGAGAUAGUAUGUGCACUCCAACUUCUAAAAUUAGCACGUAAGAUCCAGUAAAGAACAUGGAUGUGCACAAGGGAAGAGAAGGGGUUGGCACACCUAGUUCUUCUCCGCCGGAGAAUUGCAGCAACAUGGCGGGAGUUUGGCGAGGUCGGCCCACGGCUUCGCGUUUGCAGUUGCAGGCGUCCGCAUCUCGUCCGGCAGCGUGCUCCGCUCGACGGCGGCAGCAGCUUGGCAAGGUCAUCUGGCGUCGCAGGCGCAGGCGCCCGCAUCUCGCCCGGCAGCGUGGUCUGUCCGACGGCGGCAGCAGCUUGGCGAGGUCGUAGGCGUCGCUUGGUCAGGGGAGGCGGCGGCGGAUGUUAGUUGGGAUGCUGUGCCGGCUCCACUAACGGAAAUGUGGCCUCGGGGCUUGUGCUGGUGGCGGUGCAAUGGUCGCAGGUCGGACGGGUGGCGGUAGCUUGGCGAGGUCGUUCGGCGGCUUCGCGGUCGCGGCAUCGCAUCGCAUUUGCAGUGGCACGGCGGCGGUGGCUGGGCGUGGUGGUUUACAGCGGUUCUUUGGAGCGAGACAAGUGGGAGGUGGGUGUCGUCCGCGGGGUGGAGGAGACGAAACGGAAGCAGGCCGAAAGGUCUAGUACGACGAUACCAUUUGAGAGAUUCGUGGAUUACCAACGAUGGCACCGAGGUAGAUAGUGAUUAAUUAGCACUGCCAUGUCAUAAGCCUAGCAGGAUCUAGAAACUUGGCGACACUAGUAGAAAAUAGUACAACGCUGACGCCUUGUUUUUAUACCACAGGCGGUUUUAGUUAUCACACGCCUAUGGUAUAAAAAAGGCGGUGUCAGAACCGUCUGUGAAGAUGCAUUUUUAUAGGUGGUUUUCUUGACAAAACCGCCUGUAGAAAUUCCUAAGAAACCUCCACUAAAAAUUAUAUUUCUACAAGCGAUUGCUUAAGAAAACCGCCUGUAGAAAUCAUGUAUUUCUACAAGCGGUUGUUCAAAGGAACCACCACUAAAAAUCAUAUUUCUACAGGCGGUUGCUUAAGAAAACCACCUGUAAAAUUAAUUUGAAAUUGAAUUUUUUGAGCUUUUCAAAUGACCUCGUUUGAAUAAACUAUCAAAAUAAAAGUUGUAGAUCUCGAAAAGUUAUGGAAUUUUGUAGUCGAUAAUUUUUUCAUUUGAGAUCAUCUUGUCAUCGAAAACAACAUUUGAAUUUCUCAAAUUUAAAAUUCAAAUUUUGUAAAUGACCUCGGAUGGAGAAACUACCAAUAUAAAAGUUGUAGAUCUUGAAAAGUUAUGCAACUUUGUAGUUGACAACUUUUUUCAUUUGAAUCUGUUUAGGGCUUCAAAUAAUCAAUGUAUGUUCAGUUUAGUAAAUAUGUGG
RNAcentral lists this long non-coding RNA (31103 nucleotides) under Sorghum bicolor (sorghum). Its description in RNAcentral is "long non-coding RNA (SBIC_LNC001293)". The record is from RNAcentral. Lineage: Eukaryota; Viridiplantae; Streptophyta; Magnoliopsida; Poales; Poaceae.